This 490-nucleotide long non-coding RNA is filed under the name Linum usitatissimum (flax). Its description in RNAcentral is "long non-coding RNA (LUSI_LNC001967)". The record is from RNAcentral. Lineage: Eukaryota; Viridiplantae; Streptophyta; Magnoliopsida; Malpighiales; Linaceae.
CACGUUUAAAAUGUCGAAUUUUUAAUAUUAAGUUUGAAUUUUUUUUCCAAAUCCUCAUAGUUUGGAUUCAUAAUAUAAUGAUUAUAAGAAUUAACUUAACGGGCUGCAAUGGAGCGAGUUGGGUUGUAAGAGCCCAUUUCUAUGAAAAUUAUUGACAGAUCCAGUAUAGAACCUCAUCGGUCACAGGCCAAAAGCCCAAACAAUGUUACUUCUUAUAGAACACAACAAACUCUAACCCAAUCUUUUCCAAUAUCAUCUACUUUCUUCCAUUAUGUGACAAACCCUUAUAAAAGAAGGCCCUAAAAGAAUCCACUAAACACGACACAAUAUCAUUUCAUUUCCUAUACUUUCUUCUUGCCACAAACCCUAAUAAUUUGCAAACCUAAUCUGGACCACAAUUCCCAACCCUACAAAUCUCCUCCACCGUAGGCGAAUCCCAAGCCACAGCUUUCCUCAUCACCGCCCUAAAAUCCUCAACACAUUCCUUAAA